AGAACGAACGCUGGCGGCAUGCCUAACACAUGCAAGUCGAACGCCUGUAGCAAUACAGGAGUGGCGCACGGGUGAGUAACGCGUGGGAACCUACCCUGGAGUGGGGGAUAACCGAGGGAAACCUCGGCUAAUACCGCAUACGACCUGAGGGUGAAAGAUUUAUCGCUCUAGGAGGGGCCCGCGUCGGAUUAGCUAGUUGGUGAGGUAACGGCCCACCAAGGCGAUGAUCCGUAGCUGGUCUGAGAGGAUGAUCAGCCACACUGGGACUGAGACACGGCCCAGACUCCUACGGGAGGCAGCAGUGGGGAAUAUUGGACAAUGGGCGCAAGCCUGAUCCAGCAAUGCCGCGUGAGUGAUGAAGGCCCUAGGGUGUAAAGCUCUUUUGUGCGGGAAGAUAAUGACGGUACCGCAAGAAUAAGCCCCGGCUAACUUCGUGCCAGCAGCCGC
Molecule: ribosomal RNA, 447 nt
Filed under: uncultured bacterium
Lineage: Bacteria
Description: SSU rRNA
Rfam family: Bacterial small subunit ribosomal RNA
Source: RNAcentral